RNAcentral lists this ribosomal RNA (254 nucleotides) under uncultured bacterium. Its description in RNAcentral is "partial 16S ribosomal RNA". It matches the Rfam family "Bacterial small subunit ribosomal RNA", at positions 524 to 776 of the family's 1533-position model. The record is from RNAcentral.
UACGUAGGGUGCAAGCGUUAAUCGGAAUUACUGGGCGUAAAGCGUGCGCAGGCGGUUUGGUAAGACAGAUGUGAAAUCCCCGGGCUUAACCUGGGAACUGCAUUGGUGACUGGCAGGCUUUGAGUGUGGCAGAGGGAGGUAGAAUUCCACGUGUAGCAGUGAAAUGCGUAGAGAUGUGGAGGAAUACCGAUGGCGAAGGCAGCCUCCUGGGCCAACACUGACGCUCAUGCACGAAAGCGUGGGGAGCAAACAGG